UUGGUAGAGGGCAGAGCCAGAUUUUGAACCAGAGUCCAUGUUCUCAAGCACCUCAGUAUGAGGCCAGCGUGUGGAAGCUUCUGGAAGUCUCCUCUCUGAAGCAACAGAAGGCACCGCUGUCUAUGGGGGUGGUCUCCAAUGCAAGAGGCAGCAGACUCCCUGGGGAGCCAAUGUGCUGGGAGGGAUGCAAGCAUGGACUCAGAGCCCUCCGUGGCCCUCAGGCCUGUCUCUCACCUUAUGUCUGUCCAGGGCUGCCAGCGGGAUAAAAUGGAUUAAUAAAUGAAGGUGCUUUGAAAAGCACCCGAAUAUAUCUCGUUGUUCUUCCCCAGGCUGGCCUGGCCUGGAAUACAAAUGAGGCCUUCUAGUCUGAGGCAGGUCGAAGGGCACAGCCAGGCAGAGGGAUGGUUCAUGCUCAGCUCAAUCAGCCCAUCAAUCCCCUCCGGCUGCUUUCCCUCUGUUCCUGACCACUCCCACCCCCUUUAUCCCCCACCCCGCCCCCCAACUCCAGACAGGGAGUGGGAAUGAGGCAAAAAGCAAGCAGGGAGCCACCAGCACAAGAAAGGUCAGGUUGCUUACAAACCACUGCUCAACGAAAUAAAAG
RNAcentral lists this long non-coding RNA (601 nucleotides) under Pan troglodytes (chimpanzee). RNAcentral's name for it is "long non-coding RNA NONPTRT000621". The record is from RNAcentral. Lineage: Eukaryota; Metazoa; Chordata; Mammalia; Primates; Hominidae.